This 70-nucleotide transfer RNA is filed under the name Loxodonta africana (African savanna elephant). It matches the Rfam family "tRNA". Rfam says of the family: Transfer RNA (tRNA) molecules are approximately 80 nucleotides in length. The record is from Rfam by way of RNAcentral. Lineage: Eukaryota; Metazoa; Chordata; Mammalia; Proboscidea; Elephantidae.
GCGUUGGUGGUUCAGUGGUAGAAUUCUCGCUUUCCAUGUGGAGACCUGGGUUCGAGUCCCACCCAGUACA